Chiroxiphia lanceolata (lance-tailed manakin) is the source of this 5598-nucleotide RNA transcript. It is a transcript of the gene named F-box DNA helicase 1, with no coding region annotated. The transcript has 22 exons. The record is from RefSeq and is a predicted model, not a curated record. NCBI's taxonomy places the organism in Eukaryota, Metazoa, Chordata, Aves, Passeriformes, Pipridae.
GGGAAUGAGGGGGUUGGAAUUGUGGGGGACCCUUGGCAUUGAGAGGGUCUUGGGAAUGAGGGGGCUUGGAAUUGGGGGGGACCCUUGGCAUUGAGGGGGCCUUGGGAGUGGGGGAGCUUGACAUGGGAAUGAGGAGACCUUUGGAACUUGAGCAGGGGGCUUUGGAAAUGGGGGCAGCAGCUCUGGGACAGCGACUGGAUUUGGGGGAGCUGCUCUGGGCCAGUCUGGGGGGUCUCCCCGUGUGGGUGCCGUGGGAUCAGUGCAUCCAUGUGGGAAAGGGGUUUGGGAACAACGUGCUGGGAGGGAAGGGGGAGCAGCCCCAAGCUGCUCCCAAAUAUUCCUCAUCCCCCUGGAGUUCCCCCCGUCCUGCUCCUCUCCCUUCAGAGCUGGAAUGUCUCCUCCUGGCUGACAUUCCCGAUGGGAUGGAAGCCCUGAGCCCUGACAAGGCCCUGCAGCACGACCCUUGCUCGGCGCCGGUGUCUGCUGCUGCCACCAACGGAAAACCUUGGGAAAACGGGAAAAAUGGGAAUGCAGGGAUGAAGCCCUUCAAGAAGAGGCACCUCACGGCCCCCGAGUGCGAAGCCCUCGCCCGGAGCGCGGAAGGUUCGUCCGCCCUCACGCAGCCCCUGAGCCAGAGACGAGGGAGAGGAGACGGGAAUAGGGGCCUUCAUCCCGCCCACCGGACACGGAGAUGCCGGGGAGGACAAGGCCAGCAGAAGAACAUCCUGGAUUUCUUCGGGAAAUCCCAGAAGCAACAAGUCGGUCCUGGUGGGAUCAAAGAGGAGCCGCGGGAUCCCUUUUUCCCGGGAGCUGACGAUUCCUUCAGCAGCCACACGGACCUCAGCAGCGACUCCUCAGCUCUCCUGGAGGAUGAGGACUUCGUACCAGCUCCCAGGGGAAGCUCCAGGAAGCGGCCCCUCGCCGCCACAGCCUCGGGAAUUCUCAAUCCGGAGCAGGAUUUGUGGGGGGAGCCCGAGGAGAAGCCGCCGGUUCCUCCGGAGCUCGGCCAGGUCAAGCAGGAACCGGAUGACGUGGAAGUGGAGCCAGUCCCUGAUCCACACUACGGACUCCUGGGCACUCGGAGCUGGGAAGAGCCUCAGGGGAAUCUGGAUGAACUGCCUGUGGAAGUGCUCAGGCACAUCUUUGCCUUCCUUCCCGUGGCUGAUCUGUACCAGAACCUGAGCCUGGUGUGUCGCUGCUGGAGGGAGAUAGUCAGGGAUCCACUGUUCAUUCCCUGGAAAAAGCUGUACCACCAGUACCUGAUGAGGGAGGACUCGGCCCUGCGCAGAGUUGAGCAGAUCCUGCGGGAUUUCUCCAUCACAAAGGAGCAGGAAGGAUGUGUCUUGGGGCUGAUCACGUUGGUGUCGGCCACGCCCGUCAGGGGGAAGGUGGAUCCCGGCGCGGUUCUCCGGUGUUUGGGAAGCCACCACCUCUUCUCCAAGGCCCAAGUGUGCGUGGCCAACAAGCUGCCCCAUCUGCAGAGCAAGACAGGGGCUGAGAACAUGUGGGCCAUCGUGGCAGUCAUGGUGCUGUUCUCCGACAGCGUCGGCGACAUCCAGAGGCUGCUGGAAUGUCUGAGGAGACCCAGCUCCAACCUCUCCGUGCUGGAGGUGACCGAGGUGCUUUACUGCAUUGCCACGCUCCUGUUUGCCAUGAGGGACAGGAAUAUUCCCAUCACCAACAGGAUCCAUUACAACGUCUUCUACUGCUUGUACCUGAUGGAAAACUCCUCUGGAACCGUUGGGAACGUGGAAGAGGAAACCUUGGCUUCGCGCUGCAGGCAGGACUUGUGGUCCAGUUGGGACGAGGUCAAACUGACCCACGAGCAGCAGAGGAUUUUGAAUCACAGGAUUGAACCUGGGCAGAUAGUGAAAAUUAUGGCAUUUGCAGGCACGGGGAAAACCUCGACCUUGGCCAAGUACGCGGAGAAAUUCCCGGAGCUGAACUUCCUUUACGUGGCCUUCAACAAAGCCGUGGCGGAGAAGGGGAAAAGGGCCUUUCCCAGGAAUGUCACCUGCAAGACUUUCCACUCCCUGGCGUUCGGGAGCGUCGGGAAGCGCUACAAAGAGCGAGGGAAGCUGAACUUCUCCAAGAUGUCCGUGUUCUCCGUCAGCUGCCUCCUGCGGAACCGCGAGGGCCAGGCCCUGUUCGUGAGGGGGAAAACCGUCUCCCAGACCCUGGAGAGCUUCUUCGCCUCCUCGGACGAGGAGAUCUGUGAGGAGCACGUGCCCGUGUGGUUCAAAAACACCCACGGGGACUGGAGGCUCGUCAGCCCCGCGGAAAAGAGGAUCAACGUGGAAGAGGCCAAGGAAAUAUGGCACAACAUGAAAAAGCUGGAUGGGGACGUGGAGAAGAGAUACAAGAUGACUUGUGAUGGAUACCUGAAGCUGUGGCAGCUCAGCAAGCCCAAGCUGUCGGGAUACGACGCCGUUUUCGUGGACGAAGCCCAGGAUUGCACUCCAGCCAUCGUGGACGUGGUGCUGUCCCAGACGUGCGGGAUCAUCCUGGUGGGAGACCCUCACCAGCAGAUCUACACCUUCCGCGGCGCCGUCAACACCCUGCAGGCCGUGCCCCACACCCACGUCUACUACCUGACCCAGAGUUUCCGAUUUGGUCCCGAAAUUGCUUAUGUUGGAGCAACAAUCCUGGAUGUUUGCAAAGGGAUCCGGAAUAAGACGCUGGUGGGUGGGAACCAAAAGGGCGCCGUCCGGGGCUCCAUGGAAGGGAAGAUCACGGUCCUUUCCCGCAGCAAUUCCAGCGUUUUCGACGACGCCGUCAAACUCACCGGGAGAGACAGACCCAUCCCAAUCCACGUCAUCGGGGGUUUGGCUCGUUUUGGCCUGAGCAGGAUUUAUGAUAUUUGGAAGUUCAGUCAACCUGCAGAAGUCAGGGAAAAAUCAAACCUCGUGAUCAACGAUUCCUUUAUCCAGAAGUGGGAAGGCUCUCGGGGGUUCUUCGGCUUGAAGGAAUACGCGGAGCACGUGGACGACAGAGACCUGGCGGUGAAGAUUUCCAUCGUGGAGAAAUACAGGGAGCGGAUCCCGGAGCUGGUGCAGAGGAUCGAGAGAUCCCACGUGUCCCAGGAAUCCCUGGCGGAUUAUCUCAUAGGCACUGUCCACCAAGCCAAGGGCCUGGAAUUCGACACGGUGCUGGUGGCGGAUGACUUUGUGAAGGCCCCGUGUGGGAGCGACGCUUCCCAGAGGAGAACCAACCUGGCCAUCGGCGCGAUCCCAGAGGACGAGUGGAACCUGCUCUACGUCGCCGUGACCCGGGCAAAGAAGUGUCUCCUGCUCUCCAAAUCCCUGGAACACCUCCUAGCCCUGGCUGGGGAGCGUUUCCUUCGGGUGGAGCUGAUGAGUGAGGCUGCCAAGGCCGGAGCAUCCCACACUUGCUGCAUGUCCAGAUGCACAAACAUGUUGGAUCCCAGCUCCAGGCUGGUUGUGAGGAAGCUCCCGUUGACUCACAGCAACGGCAGUCGCGAUCCCGGGGGAUUCCUGUGCCAGCCUUGCACCCGGCAGCACUUUGGCUCCCUGGCUCCACUCACCUCCUUCCCAGCGCUCCAGGAGCAGCCCUGCCAGCUCUAGGGAAGCCCUCCCAGCUUCCCAAAGCCCGUUGGCACAUCCCAGCUCAGGAAUCGGGUGGAUAUUGGAGCGGGGUUUGGGUGGAUAUUGGAACGGGAUUCCAGCCCGGCUCCGGAGGAACCCCGUAGGCUCUGGGAGACCUUCCCUGCAGCCCUGCCUUGCCUUCCAGGAGCUGGGAAGCAGAAUAUUCCAAAGAAUAUGCACUUUAAGAACUGGAUCAGCAUUAAUUUUGGAGCAUUAUCCCUGUUACCUCCUGGAUAUCCCUCCCUCCUCCCUGACGUCAGCGCUCGGUGAAAUCCCUCUGAUCUGCUGGAAGAAGAGGAAAUGCAACCCUGGAAAGCUCCCAAAGGAACAGGCUAUUUCUGGGAAAUGGACUUUUCCUGGCCAGCAAUGGGAGGAAAUCAUUAAUCCCUCCCAGGGAAUGAAUUCCCCCUCCUUGCAGCCAAGGGCUUUCCCAAACUUGCUUCCCUUUUCCCAGGACCAAACCGUGAGGGAAGAACGGCUUUGGUUUGACCCAGAGACAAACUGGAGAGAGUUUUGAAUCCUAAAACUCCAUUUAUAACCAAAAAAAAAAGCCUUAAAACUUCCUUAGUUUCCUCUUCCUUAACAAGUGCUUUGGCUGCAUUGAAUUCCAGCUCUUAGGAAAAUCCUGGUGGAUCGUGCUCCGUCGUGCCGCAAUUCCAGAGCCUGUGCCACGGAAGAGCGAAACCGAAAGUGGUUCUGGAAGGGAUCUGCCCUUGGAUCCAGGCCCGGAGCAGGAAGAGGCUCAUGCAUCCUGUUAUUCCCAUGGCAGCUGCUGAAAGAGCUUGACUCCAGGAGUACAUUCCCUGCUCCGCUCACCCUGGGGGCAGGAAUUCCUGCUUGGAUUGGGAUGUGGACGUCGGAGCAGGAACCUCUGGUGCUCCCUCCCGGCUGUUUUCUGACCAUCCCAUGGGAGAAAGGCACUUCCAACUUCCAUGGCUGGAGGGUUUGGACUGUCACACAUCCACAGUGCUGAUUCCUUCCCCACAAACAGCAGGACAAGGCACAGCAGCUGGGAAAGAACAUGGAAUUUUGGGCUGUUGAUGGGAAUUCCGGUGCCCGACGAGCCCUCGGUGCUGCAGAGAUGGAUUUCAUGGAUUUCAUCCCGAUCCAAUCCUUCCCUAUCCUGGCUGAGACCCCCCAGUGAGUUCAACAAUCAACUGCUCUGUGUGAUUUUAUAUAAAAUAUAUAUAUUUAUACAUAAAAAAAGGCACCAGAGCUGCCUGUCCUGAAAUAAAGGAAAACAAUGGAUAGAAACCACCGACGGAUGAAGGAAAACCACAGCCAGGGAAAUAUUCCCUAAGUCGCGUCCUGGAAAUAUUUUUCCUUGGAAUAUUUCCUAAGUUUGGUCUUUUGAGAAGUGUCUGUAGUGAAAUUGCUCCGGGUUGGGAUCCCUGGGAGCAGCCAGAGCCAGGGGGGAUCAGGAAUCUGGAGCCUGGAUCGGUGCUGGAAGUGCUUCCAAAGGAUCCCUGAGCUGCGUCCGAGGGCGGAAUGGGGCCGGAAUCUUUGGCUGGAAAAGAGCAGGAAAGGGCAGCAGAAGGAAGCCACAAUUCCGGUGACCAGGAGCGCCGGGAACCCUGUGGAAAAGCCACAGGGAUGGAUGAGCAUCUUCCAGCUCAUGGAUGAGGGCACAGCCUGGUUCCAAACAAAACAGCUCCACAAAGAGCCAUAAAAACCUUGGACGCAGUCCCAAGGUGCCCUCCCCACCCUGGCAGGGAAAAAACUUGGAAUUCUCCUUCCCAGGGAGAAGUUUGGGUGCUGCCUCCUUCCCACCUCGGUGACAUUCCCAGGGAAUAAAAGCUCCCAUGGCCCCGAGGGCUUGGAAGCUUAAAAAAUAUGGAAAAUGAGCCCCUGCUUCCCAAAACAAGCUCGUCUUACCGAUGGAAUAGGCCAAGGUCUGGCUGGAAGCUGGAAAAGAAGGGAGAAAGCUUUUUUUUUUUAGCUGGAAAAGUCGGGAUAGUGGGAAGAGCGUCGCUAAGGAGUUUUGGGGAGAAGG